UGAUCCUGGCUCAGGAUGAACGCUAGCGGGACGCCUAACACAUGCAAGUCGAACGGUUCUUCGGAACAGUGGCAAACGGGCGAGUAACACGUACCUAACCUGCCCUCGAGCGAGGCAUAACUGUGGAGACACAGCUAAUUCCUCAUACGAUCCAUAAAAUGAGAAUAUAUGGAUGAAAGGUUUACCACUCGAGGAGGGGGGUGCGGUCUAUCAGAUAGUUGGUGAGGUAACGGCUCACCAAGUCUAUGACGGAUAGCCGGUCUGAGAUGAUGUCCGGCCGCAAUGGGACUGAGACACGGCCCAUACUCCUACGGGAGGCAGCAGUGGGGAAUCUUGCGCAAUGGGCGAAAGCCUGACGCAGCGAUCCCGCGUGGAGGAUGACACCUUACGGGGCGUAAACUCCUUUUUUGGUGGAAGACGAAAGACGGUACACCAAGAAUAAAGGACGGCUAACUACGUGCCAGCAGCCGCGGUAAUACGUAGGUCCUAAGCGUUAUCCGGAUUUACUGGGCGUAAAGCGUCUGUAGCUGGAAAAAUAAGUCUGUUUUCAAAUACUGUGGCUCAACCAUAGAAAGGGAAUGGAUACUGUCUUUCUAGAGGUUAUUAGAGGUUAGUGGAAUUUCCGGUGGAGCGGUGAAAUGUGUUGAUAUCGGAAGGAACGCCAAAAGCGAAAGCAGCUAACUAUAAUAAACCUGACGGUCAGAGACGAAAGCUUGGGUAGCAAACGGGAUUAGAUACCCCGGUAGUCCAAGCCGUAAAUUAUGCUUGCUAGAUGUUUUCUCCAUUUUGGAGGGAGUGUCGUAAUCUAACGAGUUAAGCAAGCCGCCUGGGUAGUAUAUACGCAAGUAUGAAACUCAAAGGGAUAGGCGGGGGAACACACAAGCAGUGGAUUGUCUAGAUUAAUUGGAUAAUAAGCCAAAAAUCUCACCUAAACUUGACAUGUACUGUGUCCUAUGUGAAAGCAUAGUAGUCCGAGCAAUCGGACACGGUAUACAGGUGGUGCAUGGUCGUCGUCAGCUCGUGCCGCAAGGUGUCUAGUUAAGUCUAGGAACGAGCGCAACCCUCAUCUCUAGUUAGAAUGUCUAGAGAGACUGCUCGGGCAACCGAGAGGAAGGAGAGGAUGACGUCAGAUCCUCAUGCCCCUUACGUUUAGGGCUUCAUAGGCAAUACAAUGGGUGAUACAACGAGAAGCAAUACCGCGAGGUGGAGCAAAUCUUUAAAAUUAUCCUUAGUUCGGAUUGUAGUCUGGAACUCGACUGCAUGAAGUUGGAAUUGCUAGUAAUGGCGGGUCAGCUAUACCGCCGUGAAUAUGUCCCUGUUCCUUGCACUCACCGCCCGUCAAACCAUGGGAGUUG
Molecule: ribosomal RNA, 1355 nt
Filed under: uncultured organism
Description: bacterial SSU rRNA
Rfam family: Bacterial small subunit ribosomal RNA
Source: RNAcentral